Molecule: ribosomal RNA, 117 nt
Filed under: Fastidiosipila sp.
Lineage: Bacteria; Bacillati; Bacillota; Clostridia; Eubacteriales; Oscillospiraceae
Source: RNAcentral
UCCGGCAUAGAUAACGGAGAGGCCACACCUGUUCCCAUACCGAACACAGAAGUUAAGCUCUCUGGUGCCCACAAUACUUGGCUGGAGACGGCCCGGGAAGAUAGGUAUUUGCCGGAU